CCCUUAGAUGUCCUGGGCCGCACGCGCGCUACACUGAGUGUCUGAGAUACGAGUCUGCCUGGUCCGGCAAGGUCUAGGUAAUCGCUAAAAGACACAUCAUGCUUGGGAUAGAUUAUUGCAAAUAUUAAUCUUGAACGAGGAAUUCCUAGUAAGGGCAAGUCAACAGCUUGCGUUGAUUACGUCCCUGCCCUUUGUACACACCGCCCGUCGCUACUACUGAUUGGAUGUUUAAGCGAGGUUCUCGAACUGCUAGCGACUUAGCUUCGGUGAGGUCGCAGUGUGGGAAGUGAACCUAGCUUUGGUGUCUAGAGGAAGUAAAAGUCGUAACA
Molecule: ribosomal RNA, 329 nt
Filed under: uncultured eukaryote
Lineage: Eukaryota
Description: partial 18S ribosomal RNA
Rfam family: Eukaryotic small subunit ribosomal RNA
Source: RNAcentral